Molecule: long non-coding RNA, 298 nt
Filed under: Setaria viridis
Lineage: Eukaryota; Viridiplantae; Streptophyta; Magnoliopsida; Poales; Poaceae
Description: long non-coding RNA (SVIR_LNC005769)
Source: RNAcentral
UUCCAUCCAAGGUUUAUCGAUCCAUGGAUUGGCAGCGAACUUAUUAGGAUUCUCUAUCUAGCUCAAUGGAUCUAAUCCUAGCAUGAAGCAUAGAUUGCAUAUGAGAGGUAACUUGAUGUAAAGAUUAAUAGUAUGAGUAAAAGUAGAUCGCAUCCAUAGAUAUAUAUGAUAACACCACCAAGGGUAGCAAGAGCCUAUCGUCUUCUAGUUGUAAUUCUAGCUAAUAAGAAAGCACAACAUGCAUCUCAUCCAAAGCAAUCUUUAAAUUACUACCUCCGAUCAACCUCCCGAAAACUCC